Molecule: long non-coding RNA, 376 nt
Organism: Hyaena hyaena (striped hyena)
Lineage: Eukaryota; Metazoa; Chordata; Mammalia; Carnivora; Hyaenidae
Exons: 4
Source: RefSeq, a predicted model, not a curated record
AUCCAACUACUCAGUCUCUAGUAUCAGAGGUCUGUGCUCUCUGUGACCCGCAGUCAAGCACUUCUUUGUCUCUGGCUUCCGCUCACUCCUCACUUCUACACUGUCCGUCAAGUUUAACCAAGCAGUCAAGCUACCAGGCGUCAGAACAACUGGGCCUCCUGUUCCUUCCAGCCUCAUACCAGAGUGAGAGGGGAGCUCAAAACAGCAAACUGUCUUCUUUCUGAGCUCUCAGUCACGAAACCAGAGAGAAGCACUUCCUCAUCAUCUACUUGCUGAUUUUUCAAACUUCUCUCCUAAAAAGUGCUCUGUCUGCAUCUCUGUAAGGCUGUGAUUGCUGGAUGCCAACAUGCCAUUCCUAGAAACCUCUGGAUUAUGG